Molecule: ribosomal RNA, 431 nt
Filed under: uncultured Pelagibacterales bacterium
Lineage: Bacteria; Pseudomonadati; Pseudomonadota; Alphaproteobacteria; Candidatus Pelagibacterales
Description: bacterial SSU rRNA
Rfam family: Bacterial small subunit ribosomal RNA
Source: RNAcentral
CGAUGCCGCGUGAGUGAAGAAGGCCUUUGGGUUGUAAAGCUCUUUCGUCGGGGAAGAAAAUGACUGUACCCGAAUAAGAAGGUCCGGCUAACUUCGUGCCAGCAGCCGCGGUAAUACGAAGGGACCUAGCGUAGUUCGGAAUUACUGGGCUUAAAGAGCUCGUAGGUGGUUAAAAAAGUUGGUGGUGAAAUCCCAAAGCUUAACUCUGGAACUGCCAUCAAAACUUUUUAACUAGAGUAUGAUAGAGGAAAGUGGAAUUUCUAGUGUAGAGGUGAAAUUCGUAGAUAUUAGAAAGAACACCAAUUGCGAAGGCAGCUUUCUGGAUCAUUACUGACACUGAGGAGCGAAAGCAUGGGUAGCGAAGAGGAUUAGAUACCCUCGUAGUCCAUGCCGUAAACGAUGUGUGCUAGACGUUGGAAAUUUAUUUUCCG